GCUUACACAUGCAGUCGAACGAUGAACCGCUUUCGGGCGGGGAUUAGUGGCGAACGGGUGAGUAACACGUGGGCAAUCUGCCCUGCACUCUGGGACAAGCCCUGGAAACGGGGUCUAAUACCGGAUAUGACUGUCCGCCGCAUGGUGGAUGGUGUAAAGCUCCGGCGGUGCAGGAUGAGCCCGCGGCCUAUCAGCUUGUUGGUGAGGUAGUGGCUCACCAAGGCGACGACGGGUAGCCGGCCUGAGAGGGCGACCGGCCACACUGGGACUGAGACACGGCCCAGACUCCUACGGGAGGCAGCAGUGGGGAAUAUUGCACAAUGGGCGAAAGCCUGAUGCAGCGACGCCGCGUGAGGGAUGACGGCCUUCGGGUUGUAAACCUCUUUCAGCAGGGAAGAAGCGAAAGUGACGGUACCUGCAGAAGAAGCGCCGGCUAACUACGUGCCAGCAGCCGCGGUAAUACGUAGGGCGCAAGCGUUGUCCGGAAUUAUUGGGCGUAAAGAGCUCGUAGGCGGCUUGUCACGUCGGUUGUGAAAGCCCGGGGCUUAACCCCGGGUCUGCAGUCGAUACGGGCAGGCUAGAGUUCGGUAGGGGAGAUCGGAAUUCCUGGUGUAGCGGUGAAAUGCGCAGAUAUCAGGAGGAACACCGGUGGCGAAGGCGGAUCUCUGGGCCGAUACUGACGCUGAGGAGCGAAAGCGUGGGGAGCGAACAGGAUUAGAUACCCUGGUAGUCCACGCCGUAAACGGUGGGCACUAGGUGUGGGCAACAUUCCACGUUGUCCGUGCCGCAGCUAACGCAUUAAGU
RNAcentral lists this ribosomal RNA (804 nucleotides) under Streptomyces violascens. RNAcentral's name for it is "bacterial SSU rRNA". It matches the Rfam family "Bacterial small subunit ribosomal RNA", at positions 46 to 865 of the family's 1533-position model. Lineage: Bacteria; Bacillati; Actinomycetota; Actinomycetes; Kitasatosporales; Streptomycetaceae. The record is from RNAcentral.